RNAcentral lists this ribosomal RNA (390 nucleotides) under uncultured bacterium. Its description in RNAcentral is "bacterial SSU rRNA". It matches the Rfam family "Bacterial small subunit ribosomal RNA", at positions 97 to 520 of the family's 1533-position model. The record is from RNAcentral.
GGCAGACGGGUGAGUAACGCGUGAGGAACGUACCUUUUGGUUCGGAACAACCCAGGGAAACUUGGGCUAAUACCGGAUAAGCCCUAACGGGGAAAGAUUUAUCGCCGAAAGAUCGGCCCGCGUCUGAUUAGCUAGUUGGUGAGGUAAUGGCUCACCAAGGCGACGAUCAGUAGCUGGUCUGAGAGGAUGAUCAGCCACAUUGGGACUGAGACACGGUCCAAACUCCAUACGGGAGGCAGCAGUGGGGAAUAUUGGACAAUGGGCGCAAGCCUGAUCCAGCCAUGCCGCGUGAGUGAUGAAGGCCCUAGGGUUGUAAAGCUCUUUUGUGCGGGAAGAUAAUGACGGUACCGCAAGAAUAAGCCCCGGCUAACUUCGUGCCAGCCGCCGCGG